GCGUACGUAGGCGGAUUAAUAAGUUAGAGGUGAAAUCCCCAGGGCUCAACCCUGGAACUGCCUUUAAAACUGUUAGUCUUGAGAUCGAGAGAGGUGAGUGGAAUUCCAAGUGUAGAGGUGAAAUUCGUAGAUAUUUGGAGGAACACCAGUGGCGAAGGCGGCUCACUGGCUCGAUACUGACGCUGAGGUACGAAAGUGUGGGGAGCAAACAGGAUUAGAUACCCUGGUAGUCCACACCGUAAACGAUGAAUGCCAGACGUCAGCAAGCAUGCUUGUUGGUGUCACACCUAACGGAUUAAGCAUUCCGCCUGGGGAGUACGGUCGCAAGAUUAAAACUCAAAGGAAUUGACGGGGGCCCGCACAAGCGGUGGAGCAUGUGGUUUAAUUCGACGCAACGCGCAGAACCUUACCAACCCUUGACAUACUUGUCGCGGAUUCCAGAGAUGGAUUCCUUCAGUUCGGCUGGACAAUGUACAGGUGCUGCAUGGCUGUCGUCAGCUCGUGUCGUGAGAUGUUCGGUUAAGUCCGGCAACGAGCGCAACCCACGUCCUUAGUUACCAGCAUUUAGUUGGGUACCCUAAGGAGACUGCCGGUGAUAAGCCGGAGGAAGGUGUGGACGACGUCAAGUCAUCAUGGCCCUUACGGGUUGGGCUACACACGUGCUACAAUGGCAUCUACAGUGAGUUAAUCUCCAAAAGAUGUCUCAGUUCGGAUUGGGGUCUGCAACUCGACCCCAUGAAGUUGGAAUCGCUAGUAAUCGCGGAACAGCAUGCCGCGGUGAAUACGUUCCCGGGCCUUGUACACACCGCCCGUCACACCAUGGGAAUUGGGUCUACCCGAAGGUGGUGCGCCAACUAUUUAUAGAGGCAGCCAACCACGGUAGGUUCAGUGACUGGGGUGAAGUCGUAACAAGGUAGCCGUA
This 922-nucleotide ribosomal RNA is filed under the name uncultured bacterium. Its description in RNAcentral is "bacterial SSU rRNA". It matches the Rfam family "Bacterial small subunit ribosomal RNA", at positions 565 to 1504 of the family's 1533-position model. The record is from RNAcentral.